This 332-nucleotide ribosomal RNA is filed under the name uncultured bacterium. Its description in RNAcentral is "bacterial SSU rRNA". It matches the Rfam family "Bacterial small subunit ribosomal RNA", at positions 568 to 898 of the family's 1533-position model. The record is from RNAcentral.
CGUGUAGGCGGUUUUCCAAGUCGGAUGUGAAAGCCCGGGGCUCAACCUCGGAAGUGCAUUCGAUACUGGGAGACUGGAGUCUCGGAGAGGAUGGUGGAACUCUCGGUGUAGAGGUGAAAUUCGUAGAUAUCGAGAAGAACACCGGCGGCGAAGGCGGCCAUCUGGACGAAGACUGACGCUGAGACGCGAAAGCGUGGGGAGCAAACAGGAUUAGAUACCCUGGUAGUCCACGCUGUAAACGAUGGGUGCUAGGUGUCGGGGGUAUUGACCCCUCCGGUGCCGCAGCCAACGCAUUAAGCACCCCGCCUGGGAAGUACGGCCGCAAGGCUAAA